GAGCUUGCUCCCUGAUGUUAGCGGCGGACGGGUGAGUAACACGUGGGUAACCUGCCUGUAAGACUGGGAUAACUCCGGGAAACCGGGGCUAAUACCGGAUGGUUGUUUGAACCGCAUGGUUCAAACAUAAAAGGUGGCUUCGGCUACCACUUACAGAUGGACCCGCGGCGCAUUAGCUAGUUGGUGAGGUAACGGCUCACCAAGGCGACGAUGCGUAGCCGACCUGAGAGGGUGAUCGGCCACACUGGGACUGAGACACGGCCCAGACUCCUACGGGAGGCAGCAGUAGGGAAUCUUCCGCAAUGGACGAAAGUCUGACGGAGCAACGCCGCGUGAGUGAUGAAGGUUUUCGGAUCGUAAAGCUCUGUUG
Molecule: ribosomal RNA, 370 nt
Filed under: Bacillus subtilis
Lineage: Bacteria; Bacillati; Bacillota; Bacilli; Caryophanales; Bacillaceae
Description: bacterial SSU rRNA
Rfam family: Bacterial small subunit ribosomal RNA
Source: RNAcentral